Long non-coding RNA from Mytilus trossulus (common blue mussel), 477 nucleotides. RefSeq lists it as uncharacterized. The record is from RefSeq and is a predicted model, not a curated record. NCBI's taxonomy places the organism in Eukaryota, Metazoa, Mollusca, Bivalvia, Mytilida, Mytilidae. The transcript has 3 exons.
UCAUUCUUUUUUUAUUUGAUGGUCUUAUAAAAUAUUUUGGAACGUUAAGGUUACAUAGCUAUCAAAGCAGGUAACCAGUAAAUAAUAGUGUAAAAAUUGGGUUGUUUACUUCCGGUGAUGAUUAUUUUCUCAUAUGCAAUGAAAUGUUGUGUGAAAUUUUCACUGUAUCACUGGAAAGGAUUAAACUUUACACAUGCAAAGUAUUUCUUUGGUUGAAAUAAAGUGUUCACAUGUUCUGAAGAGCAUUCUGUUGAUAAAUCUUAUAUGUGAAUUGGUCUGCAGAUAACACUUCAGCAUUAAAACAAAAGAUAUCAAGUUUUGAUGAAAAAGAGAGGAAGGAGGAAAAAUGGACCAAAACAGACCAAAACAGACCUUCAAAUGAACUCUAAAAGGUGCAAUAAAAUUGUUUAUCAUCUUAAAGUUGUCUUUUGUAUUCUAUUUAAUUGUUUGAAUGCAUAGAUCAUGAAUUUCUGAUCA